RNAcentral lists this long non-coding RNA (302 nucleotides) under Gallus gallus (chicken). Lineage: Eukaryota; Metazoa; Chordata; Aves; Galliformes; Phasianidae. The record is from RNAcentral.
CUCCAUCUCCUCCAGGGCUUUCUGGAUCACCCGUUUGCCAUAGCGCUGCUCCAAAAACCUUUUGGUUGCCUCAUCAGCUUCUAAAUAUUCAUUACGCAAAUCCAUCAAUUUCUCUGCAGUUAUUUUACACGGCGAGACCCCGUGGUAAGUCAUCUUGCACAGAGUACAAAAAGCGUAGUUGCAGCAGGAGCAGAUGCCCAUGGUGCAGCCCGGCUCCUGCAUGACGGGCGUCUGGCAGCCCGGCCGAGGGCAGUACACGACGUCUGCCAUCAGGUCCAAGGUGGACUGCAGAAGCAGGCGGU